Molecule: ribosomal RNA, 319 nt
Filed under: Lentinus squarrosulus
Lineage: Eukaryota; Fungi; Basidiomycota; Agaricomycetes; Polyporales; Polyporaceae
Description: partial 18S ribosomal RNA
Rfam family: 5.8S ribosomal RNA (bases 187-319)
Source: RNAcentral
AGAGCAUGUGCACGCCCUGCUCAUCCACUCUACACCUGUGCACUUACUGUGGGUUUCACGAGCUUCGAAAGCGAGAAAAGGGCCUUCAAGGGCUUUUUCUUGAGCCGAUUUUACAGUGGACCCAUUUCACUACAAACACCCUUAUCAAGUAUCAGAAUGUGUAUUGCGAUGUAACGCAUCGGAUACAACUUUCGACAACGGAUCUCUUGGCUCUCGCAUCAAUGAAGAACGCACCGAGAUGCCAUAAAUACUGUGAAUUGCAGAAUUCUGUGAAUCACCUUAUCUUUGAACGCUCCUUGCGCUCCUUGGUAUUCCGAGA